RNAcentral lists this ribosomal RNA (374 nucleotides) under uncultured organism. RNAcentral's name for it is "partial 16S ribosomal RNA". It matches the Rfam family "Bacterial small subunit ribosomal RNA", at positions 527 to 896 of the family's 1533-position model. The record is from RNAcentral.
GAACCGUACAAACGUUAUUCGGAAUCACUGGGCUUAAAGGGUGCGUAGGCGGCUUGGCAAGUUGGGGUGUGAAAUCCCUCGGGCUCAACCGAGGAACUGCGCCCAAAACUGCCAGGCUUGAGGGAGAUAGAGGUGAGCGGAACUUAGGGUGGAGCGGUGAAAUGCGUUGAUGUCCUAAGGAACACCGGUGGCGAAGGCGGCUCACUGGAUCUCUUCUGACGCUGAGGCACGAAAGCUAGGGUAGCGAACGGGAUUAGAUACCCCGGUAGUCCUAGCUGUAAACGAUGAGCACUGGGUUGGAGGCCCCCCCAUAGGCUUCCGGCCGAAGCGAAAGUGUUAAGUGCUCCGCCUGGGGAGUAUGGUCGCAAAGGCUG